Molecule: transfer-messenger RNA, 358 nt
Filed under: marine bacterium B5-7
Lineage: Bacteria; Pseudomonadati; Pseudomonadota; Gammaproteobacteria
Also listed under: 1 other name
Rfam family: transfer-messenger RNA
About the family: Bacterial tmRNA, also known as 10Sa RNA or SsrA, is named for its dual tRNA and mRNA-like properties. Its role is to liberate the mRNA from a stalled ribosome.
Source: RNAcentral
GGGGGCGACUUGGUUUCGACGUGGGUCACGAAACCUUCGGAGCAUGUCGAGGUUGCAGAGUACCUCGUAAAUAAAGCUGCAAACUUUACAGUUGCCAACGACGACAACUACUCCUUAGCCGCUUAACCCGGCUAAGCCUCUGACUGGUGCGAGCCUGUGCGCUCAGAUUACAGAGGUCAUAUUUACAGGAUCGUGAGAUGGUUCGUUCAUCGGCCUGAUCACUAAAAAUUAGAUGAACUCACGGUUAGCGAGCCUGUCUGUCGGCGCGCGAGCUGUUAAAUCAAAGACUGACUAAGCAUGUAGCCGCCGUCGAGCGUAGGACCAACGGACGCGGGUUCGAUUCCCGCCGCCUCCACCA